Long non-coding RNA from Bombus pyrosoma, 7872 nucleotides. RefSeq lists it as uncharacterized. NCBI's taxonomy places the organism in Eukaryota, Metazoa, Arthropoda, Insecta, Hymenoptera, Apidae. The record is from RefSeq and is a predicted model, not a curated record. The transcript is spliced from 2 exons.
GAGCAUAAUCAAGAUCGCCGGGAUCCCAUUACAAUGUUAAUAUAACACGUACAGUACGUAUAGUACAUACACAAGGGGUUUGUAUAAGUGUGCAAAUAUUUUCAUGAGUCAGAGUAUAUGUUGGAGGCAAUUAUUCACAGUAUACGCGAACGUUUUACUGAAAAUGAGCGAGAUAUUUUCAAUAAAUGUGUUGCAACUUCCGUAAACCUUUCUAAAUUCGUUUCCAACUUUACCGCUAUAAUCGCGAUAGACGCGUUUCGUUACGUUACCGAUGGAAUUACAAAACGUUUCCUAUAAUACCGCAUUACGGUUUCUACGAGCGUUCCAAUACCGAGCUGCUACUUCUAUAUCACGUCUGUUUUCAAUAAAUUUCCAUUUAAAAAAGAACAAAUAAAUAUGUGUAUAUAUGUUGCAGUGGAAUCGCUAAAUCGAAAUAGCCGACACACAACAAACUCUGUUCCCUCGCAGGUACAAAAACGUGCAUAGAAUGUCGAACGAAUCGAGACCAAUUAGCGGAAUGGCAAAGAAUGUUAAGCGCCGCGACACCAUUCGUCGCCUCUCUAUUCAUGUGUUCUCCCCGUCCAUGCACUCGCCGCCGCUUUUCGCGCGAUAUUCCCUCUCCCACGUCACCGUUAUUAGCGGCAGCCUGUUUUCUCCCUUUUAACGACUCCCGUCAAUGUCAAUGCCAGAAACGCGUACCGCGAGAUUCUCUCUUCGAGUUUGUUUACGAUCAGGAGGAGAGAGAGGGAGAGAGAGAGAGAGAGAGAUGGAGAGAAAAAAAAGAGGUGGACAAAAGACGAAAAAGAUGGAUGCAUAUGCCACUCUAUUAACAUAAUUAUUGCGAAAACCUUGGAGAUACAUACUAUCCUCGCGUAAACUCGACGCAAAUCGAGGCGGUUUGCCGACAGCGAGCGUGUCGUGGGCAUCGAUCGAUGAAUGGUGUUCUCGCGACCAUAGUGGCGCUCGCCUCGAAAACCGUACAUUUUUCACCGGAAACGGGUUAACUCUUUGACGGUGCAAUAAGGCGAUGAAUAAUUCAGAGCGAACGAUUUAGAAGAUAAUUUGUCUUAUUAUUCUUAAGGUCUGCUGCGUUUCUGAUAUCAGAUUUCUUCGAAUCAAACUCGAAGAUAAUUGUUAGAAAUACGAAUUUACUUUAGCGUUGAAGCACGUAAAUUUGAAAUAUUUGUCUCGUUUAACUCGUCGACGGUGUAAUUAAAUUACUAUAGAAUGUGAAACGAACAAUUUAGAAAAUAAUUAUGUAACUCGCUAUUCUUAACUCUGCCGCGGUCCUCGAGUUGUUUAUGUCUUAAUCUUACUUUAGCUUCAACCUUAGUUUCGAUCCUGCUUGAAACGAGAAAUCACGCGUAUAAAUAACAGGUCUUUCGUGUUUUGCUCAAAUUUAGGACAAUUUUCUAGCGAUGAACGUACGGUACGCUUGAAAAUGGCUCAAAAGAACCAGCGGCGCGUUAAAACGCGCUUUCCACCGAAAUGGAAAUACCGAUCGUAUAAUAAGCAGAUUGAGCGGAUGGUGAGCUUGCUCCAGAUAUUCUGCAACGAGGUUUAAAGGAAUUCGGCAUUUAUGAAGAGCAACGUGCGAGGAAGCGGAGUCAUCGACGUACGAAACGAGUUCGAAAGGAUUGUAUGAAAUUCAUGGGCGUGUUUUAUGUUCCGAGAUUAAGAGGUGGGGGACAAACGGACGAGAAUUCGAGAACGUUUCGCGUUCGUGGUACAACAGCCUCUUAAUCGAAUAACAGGUGUUCGAAAUGGCCUCACCAGGACUGGUUUACGUCGAUACUUCGUAUCGUCCGAAUCUCGAUGCACGCCAACUCUUGCGCAUCUGUUUGACACGUAAAAAAAAAGAGGGGUUAUAAAUAUAGUGGCUUCGCGUUCAUUCCCGCUCCUAGGAGAAGUUAAAAGUUGCUCGGCGUAUAAUUCACGCGGUAGCUUUAAGUGGUGAUAUUUUAGAAACAGUACCCGAUAUUUAUUACGUUGCCAUUUUGAAUUUUUCGCCUGAGAUAUGUCUAUAAAUACGUAGGCAUUUAUUUUCGAGUUACCAUAUGAUGAUUACAGGCAGAGGAUGUAAUAAUUACAACUUUGCUAACUUCCUGAUUUUUACGUUACUUAGUGGCGAAAAGAGGGCACUUUAAUAUACCGUGGCUAAAAAGACAUAAUUAAGAGGCGCAACCUACCCGGUCCGAGGAUGUAAGUUCUUUAGCGAUGGAUAUGAAGUUAUAUGAGAGAAAUUAACGGCAUACGGUAACGGAUUUUAAAAUUGUUUUCAUAUAUAUAGAAAUAAACACAAUUAACAUGGAAUUUUUCUAGCGUACAGCACAUACCGCAGCAUAUUCCCGCUCAUGGUUCCCUUUGCCGUGUUUUUUCCUUUUUUCUAUUCUAUUUUCCUAUUUCAAUAGAAGAAGCCAUUCCAUUAGUCGCGGUGAUACAAUACUCUUCAAGGAAUUUUAACAUAUCAUCGUCAUUAAUAUCUGCGUACGAAGUAAAAAGGCAAAGAAAAAAAGAAGAAAAACAACUAUAGUAAACAACUUGGUAAGGAGCAGACAGUAAACGACAGGAAAAGACACGCCUACGACAAUUAAAGGCUUAAACGCAUCAUUCUAAUGUGACCAUUAAAAGAGUCAUACCACCAUCUUCUUUCCUUGUAAUGAUCGUUGAAUCUAAGCGAUUCGAGCAUUGCUUGCGCUACAGGAGACAAACAAGGGGAAGAAACAGAACAUAGAAAAAAAAACAAGAUAAAAGAUUAGAGAAAAAGAGGGAGAGAGAGAGGGGGAGAGGGGAGAAGAAGGCGGAUACAAGCAAAUAAAAUCCGCGUUAAGACAGUAAGCAAACGAACGGCGUUUGCGGUGUAAAUGCGGCUUAAAGAUCGACGCCGCACGAAACAAGCUCGCCCACUCUCAUCGGGCGGAAAACUGCGCUAUCAUCCUUCUACACCACAAUGAUCUUGACAGUGACCGUAGCGAUCAAUGGCGCCGUCAAUUAGGCGAAUCGCGUACUCGGGUUUAUGGCUCGGUGGCCAACGUAUCGAGGAUGUCGAGCCACGCGUUAUCCUGGAAAUUUGACGACCACUCGCGAUGUCCAUGUAACAUCGUUCACGCGCUUCUUUCAUUCUACUUUGCGUCUCAGUUCGAAAACUGGAUAUGACCAACUGAGAACUACGCGCAGGAAUAAUAAUAAUAAUAAAUAAUAAUAAUAAUAAUAAAUAAAUAAUAAUAAACCUGAAAAAAGAAAUAGUUUAUCAUAGCGAUGUAUCAUAUCCAUUAUAUGCAUCCGAAGAAAAUAAAUAGCGAAAAGUUAUCAUAAGAAAGAAAAUAAUGUAUAGAUUAGAUAAAAUUCUAAUUCUCUAAAAAUGUGUUAUCAUUGUCUAAUUUAUCUUCAACUUUACUAUAAAGUUUCACCAACAAAAACCAAUAGCUUCCCGAGAUUCGUCUAUUUACUUUAUUGUAUUCAUAUGCAAAUCGUGACUGUGUUACGUUCUGGAGAAAGGAGAGAUUAAAUUAUGCGAUUCAAAAUAAAUAAUGACUACACCGGCAUUCAAUAACUACGAUACUACGAAGAGACAGGCGAAAGAAUUUCCGGGAGAGAAUAAAAUCAUAGUAAUCUUUGUACACACGAUAUGACAAGAUCGAUCUAAGGAACAUCUUCUUGUAUUAUAAAACGCUUUUCGAGAACUGAAAUAUUUGUUCACGGAGCAUCGUUCCAGGGGAACGCGUCGCUUUAUAAUAUCGUUGAACUAGCUUGGUUGCCUUCGCGAACGCGAACCCUUUUAUCUCUUUGAAGCUGGUCGGGUUAGAGAGCAGGCCCCGCUUAAUGCAAUAACGUUAAUGCAUCACCAGACGAUUUUUAUUUCGUCCGCACAAAGCAGGCCGGCCUUGAAGCGCGGCCGGAAACAAGGUGGAUCGGUGUUAUUGCAAAUCUCCGAGCAGUGAAUCGCGUUAAAGAGAAGGAUGGAGUAAAAAACAACUAAAGCUCAUCGAUAAUCGUUGAACAUAGCACUCUAACAAAUAGAUUUCCAACGUUAAAGGUUUCGUUUGUUGUCGAACGACUCUCGAAUCGAAUUUCUCGCUAAAUUCUACUAUCGUUAGGACCAGGGUAGAAAAUAAGUAGUUAAAGUAAGUUAAAGUCGAAUCGAACGGGAUAAACGGAAGGGAUGGGGAGGGAGGUGCAAGACCCGUGAGAACCCUCCAGGAAACCGGAAGUGUACGAAAUUAGUCCAAUUUCGUGCGCGACAAGUGGAAAAACGUCGGCCACUGGCAGUGGCGACUCCACUCUCGAGGGCACACGCGUGCCGCAACGGGAAUCCGCUAGGUGACUCGCGUGUGUAUUCAUCGCUUAAACCCCGAUUAGCCUGCUAGAGGGCCUAAUAACGAGUAAUACCCUAGUCGCGUCAUCGAGUUUAAACAGAUUUCGCAACAGCUAGCGAUCUCUUAUGCACAUACGUUCGGACUGACUUGACUGCCUGUUUGGCUGCUGAUUCCCCUUUAAAACCUAACCAAAUGUUCUAACAUAGGCGAAUUACCAUUUCUACGAAAAUCAAUUCGUUCCUCAAUCUACUAAAUUGUUUCUCGUUUCCUUGCUUUUAGACGAAAUUGGUUCACGGUCACCGAGAAUGUUCAAAGUUUAAGGAAGAUCGUUUGAAAUGGACAAACGACUCUCUCUCUCUCUCUCUCUCUCUAGCGAUAUAUAUAUAUAUAUAUAGAUGGCGUAAGGAAGUGGUAAGGAGAACGAACAGCUUGUUUUCUACUCGUCGAUAAAUCUGCGGCUUCUUAUCUAUCAGCAGAAGAUUACAGCGAUCGUCCGGCGAUGUUGUAACAGCUAACAGCCAAUGAUAUAUUGGACGAACGAACAUUGCUAGACAUUUCUUCAAUGACGAGUGUACCAUGUGAUCUAAACAUACGACGACACGUUCCUCGAACGUCAUCACUUCGACCCGUGAUCCUCGGGCACAUUGGUCGCACAGUGUUGUCAAAUUCAACCUCGAGGAACUUACGCAUUGGUAAAUAUUAUUUACGCGCAUAAGUAGUACGUUCGGUUUAAUAAGACAGAGCUGCUGCACGAGCCGAGCUGUCAUUGUAAAUAAAUUAUACAUAAAUCAAUGAACGAAUCCACUCUCGUCCCGUUGCUUUAUCUCAAAUGGAAUCAAAGGACUCGUAAAGCUGUUUCCUGAUACACAAAGAAUAUUUAGACACGGCUGACUCGCAAUUAUGAAUCGUAAUAAUGCUAAAUUAAAUAAACAUUUGUUGUACAGAGCCUAGAGAAGUUUUUCUAAAGGUCGUGUACUUUGAUCGAAGGAUGUAGAAGGUUUCAACGAGAUCUUUUAAUCAAUCGAGGCUGAUUUAAUUUAGUCGAGAGUUUCGAGAUCGGAAACACGGUAAAAGUUUCCCUGUCGUUUGUACCUUAACGAUUAAAACUUCAAAAUACUUGGGCUGCUGAGCAACGCAAACUCGUAGGCUGACACACCGGCCGCACACCUACGUGUUUCUAAAUAAGUCUUAUUCGUAGGUUGGCUGCACCGUGGAAGCGAAACUUAUAUCUUCCUCGAUCUAUCCGUCCGCCAAACCAUUCUUGCUCGUAUUAUUAUCUAAACGCGAAUCUUCACCGCCAGCGAAGAAAACAACUCUCGUAACGUUGCGAACCCCGCCCAUCGCACUUUUCAUCAUUGAGGAGCAGCUACGGGUGAGCACUCGGCGACACCCUGCAGGAUGCUGCAGCUGAAAAUCCUCUCAAGCACUGCAAUCGCCGGCAGGAGUUCCCCCCGAGUAUGUAACCGGUCCCAAACACAUUUGCCCGCUUUGGUCUUACGCCACAGACUAUACUCUAUGCAGCACAUAAAUCCCGCAUGAAACCGGGCUUUACCAUGGCUACGACCCUAGUGCCAAGGUAUUACGAUUCACCGCGUACUACUAGACCGUGUCUACGGUGACACGUACAUCUUUGAAUUAGUAAAAACCAUUAGUUUGUUUACAAGACGUAUCAAAGUUAUUGAUGUAGUUAUUGGAUGAAUGGAUAUUGGUUAGAUUCACGUCGAUUCAUCGCAACUAUAUUACAUAUAUCUUGAUUCUUGUUUAACCGAAAGUUACUCUUCCGUGUAACAUGUGGCACCGCUUGUGUCGAUACGUAAACGCACGUAUACACACGAUACUCGAGUGAAAAACACGUGCAUAUAGGUUAUGUACGCGGUACGCGAGAAAGAGACGAUGAGAGAAACCGAGCGUAGAAGUAAAGAGACAGGAACAAGUGUAAAGAGAAGGAGAGAAGCAAAGAAGACAGUAAGCUAGUGAACGAGCAACAGAGAAAGAGAGACUAUAAGGACUACUGCCGUUUUAUUGGCAGAGGUGAACGACACUGCCUACUGCAAGGUGGAUGCCUGUAUUUCGCAUAACCGCUCGUCGUUGGAACGUGCUAUGAGUUUAUGGGUCACUACGUACUGUUUUCAAGCACCUUCUUACGAAAAUAGUAUGAAUUCGUUGAAUCGAAAAUAUGUUGACAUCGAAAAGUCGCCAAUGUUUGCCUUUAUUAUGCUUUGUUGUUGUGCCUCGUAGUUAAAAAAAAAAAAAAAACAUCAUUACAUCAUCUAAUAUCGAUAUUUCUUGUAAAAAUAAUAAUCGAUAAAAUAAAUGUUCUCGCGUUACAAGCAUGCUCAAGACGAUAACAAUUACCAAAUAGCUGACUUACAUUAAAACACGCACACGUUGUAUACACCUCUUAAUUUCAAUGCAUACACAUACCCCUAUGGGAUUACCACAUAAACGUGCAGCAACCUUUUUGAAAAUUAAGAAUUCAUUUCACGUACAACUUCUAACUGCAAAAGAUUGUACAGGUUAUGUAAGAGCAAUUCGAAGAACGAACAACAGAGGGGAACGGCCUGAUCAACAAGAGUGGAUUCUGAAUUUAAGAACCUGAUUUCGUUAACAUUUGCUUAACGACAUACCAAUCAACAAGAUGAAACAUCAGAGCGAGCAAUAACAAUAUAUGACGUACAGUAACACGCACAUAACGUGACAGAGAUUUAUAAAAACAGUGUAUGUAAAAAUACAUACAUAUGUACAUACAUUUAAAUUUUAGUUUUUAAUUCAUGUAGAAUUAUGUGACUGCUUCCUAAACUCAAUAAUGAGCAAUAUUUGCAAUUAAAUUUUUCAGAAAAUCGCCUCUGUAAAACAAAAAAUUUAUCCAUAUUUUGCGUUAUGGUCAUCGGCAGUUAUACACGAAAUUUAUAUUGCAGGAAAAUCGGUCGAGUAACGUGAACUGACCUCUGCUUUGCCGCUCCUCAUCGAUUUUCUGAACAUACGUCAAUACGAAGUACGCCAGACACGUAUUCAUGGAAUUAAAUACUACCUUCUUUUUCAAUAGUCGAUAAAUAGAAAUUUCUGUCAGUUUGUAUAGCAGCCAUGUUAAAUAUGUAAGGAAUGAGAAAUAAGAUAUUUUCGGUACAAACGUGCUUAUCUCUAAAUAUUUUGAGGUUAGCUUCGGUAAUUUUACGUUAUCUUUAUAUCAAGCAAUCUAAUGUAUAAUAUGCGAAAGCAAUGUAAACUGCGUAUUACUUAAUGCUUUAUCUCACAUUGAAUAUUAAAUAUUAAUAUUGUAUUGUGUUAUGUUCAAUGUAUUUCUACAAAAUUUGUAUCAACUAUGAAGAAUUCAUUUGAUACACUCAUUUAAUUAUUUGAUCAUACAAUUAGUAAAGAGAAAUGUGAGAAUUAUAUAAAAAAGAAUUUAAAAAAGAUUAAAAUGAAAUGUAUCUCAGAAAUGUAUAUGUUGAAAUCAUUAAUGCAUCACCUGGUAACUUUGUUUACCACACCAGGGUAAAAUUCCAUUUCAUCUGUAUAUUAUGAUUGCUCAAUAAAAUUACAAAUAUAUUGCCAA